This 158-nucleotide ribosomal RNA is filed under the name Pythium insidiosum. Its description in RNAcentral is "5.8S ribosomal RNA". The stretch from base 1 to 111 matches the Rfam family "5.8S ribosomal RNA", at positions 45 to 154 of the family's 154-position model. Rfam says of the family: 5.8S ribosomal RNA (5.8S rRNA) is a component of the large subunit of the eukaryotic ribosome. The record is from RNAcentral. Lineage: Eukaryota; Oomycota; Peronosporomycetes; Pythiales; Pythiaceae.
GCUGCGAACUGCGAUACGUAAUGCGAAUUGCAGGAUUCAGUGAGUCAUCGAAAUUUUGAACGCAUAUUGCACUUUCGGGUUAUGCCUGGAAGUAUGCCUGUAUCAGUGUCCGUACAUCAAACUUGCCUUUCUUUUUCUGUGUAGUCAGGAAUCGAGAU